GCCCCCGUAGCUCAGUUGGAUAGAGCGGCAGAUUUCUACUCUGCGGGUCGGGGGUUCGAAUCCCUCCGGGGGU
RNAcentral lists this transfer RNA (73 nucleotides) under Solirubrobacteraceae bacterium. RNAcentral's name for it is "tRNA-Arg". It matches the Rfam family "tRNA". Rfam says of the family: Transfer RNA (tRNA) molecules are approximately 80 nucleotides in length. Their secondary structure includes four short double-helical elements and three loops (D, anti-codon, and T loops). The record is from RNAcentral. Lineage: Bacteria; Bacillati; Actinomycetota; Thermoleophilia; Solirubrobacterales; Solirubrobacteraceae.